Molecule: ribosomal RNA, 494 nt
Filed under: uncultured bacterium
Lineage: Bacteria
Description: bacterial SSU rRNA
Rfam family: Bacterial small subunit ribosomal RNA
Source: RNAcentral
GGCGGCGUGCCUAACACAUGCAAGUCGAACGGAGCUGCGACGCUGAGGAGUGGAGUACUUGUACAAAGCGAAUCUUGUCGUAGCUUAGUGGCGGACGGGUGAGUAACGUGUGGAUAACCUGGUCCAUCCAGGGGGAUAGCGAGCUGGAAACGGCUGGUAAUACCGCAUAAGCGCACAGAGAGGCAUCUCUUGGUGUGAAAAGAUUUAUCGGGAUGGAAUGGAUCCGCAUCUGAUUAGCCAGUUGGCGGGGUAACGGCCCACCAAAGCGACGAUCAGUAGCCGGCCUGAGAGGGCGGACGGCCACAUUGGGACUGAGACACGGCCCAGACUCCUACGGGAGGCAGCAGUGGGGGAUAUUGCACAAUGGAGGGAACUCUGAUGCCAGCGACGCCGCGUGGGUGAAGAAGUAUUUCGGUAUGUAAAGCCCUAUCAGCAGGGAAGAUAAUGACGGUACCUGAGCAAGAAGCCCCGGCUAACUACGUGCCAGCCGCAGC